RNAcentral lists this ribosomal RNA (1158 nucleotides) under Salmonella enterica subsp. enterica. Its description in RNAcentral is "bacterial SSU rRNA". It matches the Rfam family "Bacterial small subunit ribosomal RNA", at positions 1 to 1153 of the family's 1533-position model. Lineage: Bacteria; Pseudomonadati; Pseudomonadota; Gammaproteobacteria; Enterobacterales; Enterobacteriaceae. The record is from RNAcentral.
UGAAGAGUUUGAUCAUGGCUCAGAUUGAACGCUGGCGGCAGGCCUAACACAUGCAAGUCGAACGGUAACAGGAAGCAGCUUGCUGCUUCGCUGACGAGUGGCGGACGGGUGAGUAAUGUCUGGGAAACUGCCUGAUGGAGGGGGAUAACUACUGGAAACGGUGGCUAAUACCGCAUAACGUCGCAAGACCAAAGAGGGGGACCUUCGGGCCUCUUGCCAUCAGAUGUGCCCAGAUGGGAUUAGCUAGUUGGUGAGGUAACGGCUCACCAAGGCGACGAUCCCUAGCUGGUCUGAGAGGAUGACCAGCCACACUGGAACUGAGACACGGUCCAGACUCCUACGGGAGGCAGCAGUGGGGAAUAUUGCACAAUGGGCGCAAGCCUGAUGCAGCCAUGCCGCGUGUAUGAAGAAGGCCUUCGGGUUGUAAAGUACUUUCAGCGGGGAGGAAGGUGUUGUGGUUAAUAACCGCAGCAAUUGACGUUACCCGCAGAAGAAGCACCGGCUAACUCCGUGCCAGCAGCCGCGGUAAUACGGAGGGUGCAAGCGUUAAUCGGAAUUACUGGGCGUAAAGCGCACGCAGGCGGUCUGUCAAGUCGGAUGUGAAAUCCCCGGGCUCAACCUGGGAACUGCAUUCGAAACUGGCAGGCUUGAGUCUUGUAGAGGGGGGUAGAAUUCCAGGUGUAGCGGUGAAAUGCGUAGAGAUCUGGAGGAAUACCGGUGGCGAAGGCGGCCCCCUGGACAAAGACUGACGCUCAGGUGCGAAAGCGUGGGGAGCAAACAGGAUUAGAUACCCUGGUAGUCCACGCCGUAAACGAUGUCUACUUGGAGGUUGUGCCCUUGAGGCGUGGCUUCCGGAGCUAACGCGUUAAGUAGACCGCCUGGGGAGUACGGCCGCAAGGUUAAAACUCAAAUGAAUUGACGGGGGCCCGCACAAGCGGUGGAGCAUGUGGUUUAAUUCGAUGCAACGCGAAGAACCUUACCUGGUCUUGACAUCCACAGAACUUUCCAGAGAUGGAUUGGUGCCUUCGGGAACUGUGAGACAGGUGCUGCAUGGCUGUCGUCAGCUCGUGUUGUGAAAUGUUGGGUUAAGUCCCGCAACGAGCGCAACCCUUAUCCUUUGUUGCCAGCGAUUAGGUCGGGAACUCAAAGGAGACUGCC